AACGAACGCUGGCGGCAUGCCUAACACAUGCAAGUCGAACGAGACCUUCGGGUCUAGUGGCGCACGGGUGCGUAACGCGUGGGAACCUGCCCUUAGGUUCGGAAUAACUCCCCGAAAGGGGUGCUAAUACCGGAUAAUGUCUUCGGACCAAAGAUUUAUCGCCUUUGGAUGGGCCCGCGUUGGAUUAGCUAGUUGGUAGGGUAAAAGCCUACCAAGGCGACGAUCCAUAGCUGGUCUGAGAGGAUGAUCCGCCACACUGGGACUGAGACACGGCCCAGACUCCUACGGGAGGCAGCAGUGGGGAAUAUUGGACAAUGGGCGAAAGCCUGAUCCAGCUAUGCCGCGUGAGUGAUGAAGUCCUUAGGGUUGUAAAGCUCUUUUACCCGGGAUGAUAAUGACAGUACCGGGAGAAUAAGCUCCGGCUAACUCCGUG
Molecule: ribosomal RNA, 433 nt
Filed under: uncultured bacterium
Lineage: Bacteria
Description: partial 16S ribosomal RNA
Rfam family: Bacterial small subunit ribosomal RNA
Source: RNAcentral